AUGUUUGGUCAUGAAAUGUGGAGACGUCACCACAUUCCAAGUGCUGAGUGCAAUUACGGAUGCAGUAGAUCUCUUGCUAGGAUGUGCGCAUGGGGAAAUGUUUCCCAGAGAUGGAGUGACUUCGAUGUAAAAAUUCCUUCUUGUCUCAUGGAUUGUGCCAAGGAAAACAGCACUGGGGCAAGGCAAUCUCACAGCAGGAAGAAUGGAUCUCUCAAAAUGGAUGAACAAGAUAGAUGUGAUCUGCUCACCAUGCCUCUAGGACUGCAUCCUGUCCUCAGCUGUCUCGUUCUGCUAAACAAAGGACAUACCUAAAAAAUGCAUCAGCCUCAAGCUGAUCACAACACACGUUCUAGGAACACAAAGAAAUCAUUCUGAAGAUGGCUUUAAUGCAAUACUAUAAAAGUUUGGAUUCAGCUGACUACCAGAUGCUGAGUCAUAAAGAAAGAGACGUUUCAGAGGUAAUGGAUUAUGGAUAGAGUUUGUAGGAUUCAAUAUUUAUCUUUAUUCAAAAUCAUCGAUCUAUAUCAUCAAUGAUUCUUGCUUGUCCAGGAUCACUGUUAGUUAUAAUUUCUGGUCAAUGUUGGGGAGCAUCUGACCCUGUCACAGCAACAACACCAGCUGGUGAAGUUCUUAGGGCAGGAGAGAGAUAGACUGAAAAACCAGCCAGUGCAUGAAGGGGGAAAAGCUGUGCUGAGAGUCUGGGGAGUGAAUAAGGGAAAAACCGGUCAGUUUUCUAACAUUUAUCGAUUAAAUCCUGCCCAGGCUCUUCAUGGAGCACAGCUGUCUGCUGUAAAAGCAAAAAGCCAGCACAGAGCAACAGCAGAACCGUGCAAGGGGAAGUGCAGCUGUAGGGCUUCAACAAAUCUGGUGGUAAAUGUGCAUGUCAAGGCACGGAGCUCUGGGCUCUCCCAGGUGCUCCUGGGGCUCUGAGCUUGGUCUUUGUAACCGAGCUGUGGCUGCCGUCCUCCAGGGAAGCAGCUGCUGGAAGGAUGGAUGGAGUGUUUGGCUCCACCUGCAGUUAUUGUAGGAUUCAAACCGUGUCACUGGCUGGAUGGGUUCCUCUCAUGUUCUCUGUACAUGCACACAAACAAAAUGAACACGAUGGCAAAACACAAGAUGGGAAGCGCAGCUGUCAGGAUUUCUUGGUUCACACAAGGAAAAUGGAGAGUCGCCAAGAGAACUGAGAGAAGGAGGGCAAAUCCCUGAUAAAGAAAACCAAAGUAGACAGAAAUACUAAAAACAGGAGGCCUUUUAAGGCUUGAGAAAGUGUAAGGAAAACAAAAUGGUGUGGAGGCAGAGGAAGAAAAGGGAGAGGAACACCAGAGAGAAGCUGUGAAGCUAUUGACA
Molecule: long non-coding RNA, 1347 nt
Filed under: Cyanistes caeruleus (blue tit)
Lineage: Eukaryota; Metazoa; Chordata; Aves; Passeriformes; Paridae
Description: lncRNA (ENSCCEG00000011301.1)
Source: RNAcentral